RNAcentral lists this long non-coding RNA (6463 nucleotides) under Arabidopsis thaliana (thale cress). Its description in RNAcentral is "long non-coding RNA (ATHA_LNC000637)". The record is from RNAcentral. Lineage: Eukaryota; Viridiplantae; Streptophyta; Magnoliopsida; Brassicales; Brassicaceae.
AACUCUGCAACUCUUAAGUUGAAUGGAAGAAACAUAUGCUAAUAAAGAACAUUCUCUCUGGAAAAAUUGUUUGUUCAGGAAAGCAACAGAUUGGAGUACCUGAUACCAAAAAGAACAUCGUUGAGACAUCGGCUGCCAAUGGGAGACCAAGGAUUCACAGACUUUGUGGCUCAUCUUCUUGAGAUAAACCCAAAGAAGCGUCCUUCUGCAGCAGAGGCUCUGAAGCACCCUUGGCUUUCAUACCCAUACGAGCCAAUCUCUGCUUAAACAACUGGUGUCUUUACUUAAGCUACUAAAAGCCGCAAAACCUCAGAUUAAUGGAAACCUCAUAUGUGCAAAGGUUCAAGCCCCUUUGGUGGGUGACCCUUAAUACAAGUUGUGGCUGUCUCCUUCAGUCAAAAUGUGAGCUGAAAAGAAGAAAACUUUUGUGAAAUUUGAUUAGAGUGUAACACUGUGUUGUCAAACUUGUGAUUAUUAUCCUCCUAGAACAGACUAAGUAGUAGAACUCUUUUUUGUAUCAUCUGCUGAUCCUUAGUAGUUUAGUCAUUUGAUUAUGAUUUAUAAAUGUCAUUUAUGUAAUUUAUAUAUAUACAGGGUACUGAUCAUUUUAGGUGUCAUAUAUAGAAGUAAAUUUCAGAGAGUGCUGUGCGGGAGAAUCUCCUUUGGUGGUCAUUGUAAGGUGGUGAAUGGUAUUAUCAAUGGGACAUAAAAAAAAAUUGGUUCUCGGGUUCUUAGUGUUGUAGGUUCGAGAGAGUCCAUUGUUCUCUUUUGUGGUUUAUCUUUGUCUCUGUUCUGUUUCUAACAUCUCCCAAUUCAGUACCAAUAAUUAGUGGAACAAAAAAAAAAUACUUUUAUAGUCCACACUCUAAAACAUGACUAAAGAGAUUCGGAAGCGACUUUAGGUCACAAACUUUUGGAAGGAUUACAAUAUUUUUGAAUUGAUUGAUAGUUUUAAAUGUAUAACAAAUGAAAAUUUGCGGAAUAAAAAUUUAUAAGGAAAAAAUUGCAUUAUGAAAUAACGAAUUACCUUUUUUAUAUUGAAAAUAACUAUCUUUGGAUUGUAAACAAAAUUUCGUGUAAAAUUUUCUAAAGAAAGCAAUUGGAAUCAUAAUAAUCUAUGAAAUUUAGCAAUAUGGUAUCAUUUUAAAAAAUUCAGUACAAGACAAUUUUGUAAUAUUGGAAGAAAGAACCCUAAUUUUAAAUUUAGGAAUUUUUUUAAGUUUACCAGUGAAUGUCCGAAAUGAUUACAUCCAUUGAAACCUCAACGUGCGUGUCUUCUCCUUGCUUCUUCUUCCUCGUUUGAUCUGUAAACGCAUUUCCUCCUUCGCCGUGCCUGAAGAAGUUUCAUCUCUCGUUGGAUCCACUCUUGUUCCUCCUUGUCUUCUUAAAUUUUUAUUUUUAUUUUUCUGGUUCUCCGGAUCUCCAGACUCUUCGAUGGCGCGUUUGGAGCAUGAUUUCUAAGGAUUUUUAGGGUUUUUAUGCUCUUAUUGAAGUUCGCAUCUGCUGCAUCGUUCCGUAUGAGCAAACGUGAGUCUGGUUUGCCGGAAAAAACUUGUUUCUGAAAUGUGACUGAAAGUAUUGGUUUUGGGCAGAUUUUGAUUCUUCUAAUGUCUUUUGGUAGAAAGAUUCUUCAAAUUGUUUUCGUUAGAGGGUUCUGGGUAUCAGACAACAUCUGAACAGAGAAAAGUUUUCAUCUUUGUUGGGUACAGGAUUGGUGGAGUUUUAUUGCCAGUGCUUCUCCUGUAUAUUGUAAAUGACGGACCAGAGCUCUGUUGAUGGGAUUUUAGAGUUUCUUAGGAAUAAUCGCUUCUCUCAAGCUGAGGAAGCUUUGCGUAAUGAGCUUAAUAACCGGUCUGACAUUAAUGGCUUUCUUCAGAAACUUAAGCUGGAGGAUAAAGAUUCAAAUGAAAAGGCUGCUGGUAAUGAACUUCGGAGGUCAGGUUCUCGAGAUAGUGAAGUCUCCAAGGAGCUGAUUGUGAAAGAGGUAGACUGUGGGACUAGCACCAAUGGGUCUGUUAUCAAGUGGGAAAAUGGUGCGACGGCGGACAAUCCGAGCAAGAAGGAACCAGUUGUAUCAAGUGAGAUGAGCUUUACAUUCUCCAAGAAUUCAGGUGAUGCUGCUGCUCCUCCUGAUGCCCAUUCCUAUAAAUUUACUUCCAGAAAUGGCACCGUGGAGCCUUCUCGAAACAUUGAUGAUAGUAGUAGUAGCAGCUUGGUGGAUUUAUAUGCAUUCGAACAGUCGAGGCAUGGGAAUUUCGCUGAUAUCGAUAAGAAGAUAGUGGAAACUGGUGAAGAUAUCGUUUUCUUUGGCAAUAAGAGUACUUCAUGGUCUGGAAAUUCUAGUAAAGGGAACUCCGGGUCGAAAAUAAAGGAACCAAAUGAGAUUCAUCGGCUUGUUGAAAACUCUGGAAAGCAUGACAGCUAUAAGGGUAGCAUUCUUUUAAGAUCUGAAGAUGUCGUAGAUACCUCAGCGAACUGGAGAGAGUGUUCUGUUAAGACUCUUUUUCAAUCUUCGAGAGGGGAUGCGUCAAACAGUUACAAUCUGGUUAGCAGCUCGGACAAGAGAGAGGGAAAGAAGAAGGCAGACAUUAGUGAUGUGAGGGUGGCAAUCAAGGAGCAGGAGAGUGAGGUGGCAAGAGCUUUAUUCUUUGGUAAAUCUCAAUCCACUUUUGAUGACAAAAAUAUCAGCAGCUUAGGUUUUCCACUUGUAUAUGAUACCCGCAAGGAAGAGUUUCCUAGGCUUCCUCCUGUUAAGCUCAAGUCUGAAGACAAUCCUCUGAGUCUUCACUGUGAAGAAAAAUUUGAACGUGAUGGUUCAGGUCCAAGGCUAAUCAAUGAUGAGGACGCCCUUCUCAUAGGCUCAUACCUUGAUGUUCCCAUUGGACAAGAAAUUAGCUCAUCAGGUUAGAUUGCAUGACAAUGUAGCCGUACAACUGCAAAGUUUCCAUUGUGACUGCUGAAUGACAGUGCAUGCAUUUUUCUCAUAUCCUUCAUUCCUAUAGGAACUACUGUGGUUAUCAUAUUUCUACUCUGCGAAUCUGCUGAAGUAACAUGUUUGAAUUUUGAUGAACUCAUGAAUUAGAACAAUGCAUUGGCAAAUUACCAGCAUCAGUUCCAAAGAAAGCAAGUAAUUGUUUAGCUUUUUGCAUUUAUCUGCAAAUGUUUGCUCUCAUUGUCUUCCUUUCCCACUCUGUUUUUUUUUUUUGAUUUCUAUAAGGACCAUGUCGCUUCACUUUCUACUUUUUUUUUAGUUCAACUUGAACCUUACCAGUUUUACUUCAGGUGUGAAAGUAAGUUUUAAUCUCCUAAUUAUUUCAUAUAGGUGGGAAAAAAUCUACUGGGGGAAACUGGCUUUCAGUAAGUCAGGGAAUAGCAGAGGACGCAUCUGAUCUUGUUUCGGGUUUUGCUACUAUUGGUGAUGGUUUAAGUGAAUCUGUUGACUAUCGUAAUGAAUACUGGGACUCUGAUGAGUAUGAGGAUGAUGACGACAUUGGUUAUGUCAGACAACCUAUUGAAGAUGAACCAUGGUUUCUUGCCCAUGAAAUUGAUUAUCCAAGUGAUCAUGAGAAAGGAACGACCCGUGGAAGUCCUGAUCACCAUGAAAGAGAUGCAAACAAAGACGCAGAUGAUCAGUCUUAUGCCGAGGAGGCUUCUUAUAUAUCUGGAGAACAGUAUCUCCAAUCAAAAGAUGCUGAACCUAUUUCUUCAGAAAAUGACCGAAGACUUACAGUCUCAGAAAUUUAUCCAGCUAGCAAGAAAAAUGAUUUAUUAGCCCAAUAUGAUGGGCAUUUAAUGGAUGAGGAAUUGCUCAGUUCGAUGCGUGAUGAGCCUGUUUGGCAGGGGUUUGUAGCUCAGUCAAAUGAACUUCUCAUGUUAGGUGAUAAGAAAGGCAUAAAUGUCCAUCGAAAAUCUCAUCGUGAUGAUGUUUACGUCGAAGAUGAUCAGCAUGAUUCGGUCAGGUCAAUUGGCGUGGGUAUUAAUAGUGAUGCAGCUGAUUUUGGCAGUGAAGUACGUGACAGUUUGGCUGGAGGUAGCAGUGAGGGAGAUUUUGAGUACUCCCGUGAUCAUGAUCCUGUAGCAUCCAGGUUUAAACAACUUUACUCCGAGUCAGAUAAGAAACAUAUUGAUGCCCCAAACAAGAAUAAACAACAAGCAAGUAAAAAUGAUGGUCCAGAUUACAUUGCAGAUAAUGAUUCAAGCGGAAGUUUUCAUGUGAAGAUUCAAACUGAUGGUGGUUUUUCGUUUGGUUCGUCCCAAAAAGAUGGGCAGUCAAUGCAUGCGGAAUCUAGUAAAUCAUUAUGGUCAGGCAAUCACGAAACGGUAACCAGAGAUAGGAACACCGAACGUUUGAGUGCUUCAACAGCUAUGGAUGAUAUGGUUGCAACUUGGAGACGAAAAAGUAGUGAUUCAUCAAGUUCUCAUAGUUCUGUGAAAGAUAAUAAUGCAACGUCCAUAAAAUCUCUAAACUCAUCUCCCUCUUCUCUGUCAAAUUAUGCUUGUGAAGAAAGAAAGCAUGCUGAUAAAGAAGAUGAUAGAAAUGAUAGUAGUGAAAUAGAGGAUGACAAUGCGACAGCACUUGAUGAUGAAGAGGCAGUGGCUGUCCAAGAGCAAGUUAGACAAAUUAAGGCCCAAGAGGAGGAGUUUGAAACCUUUGACCUCAAAAUUGUGCAUCGAAAAAACAGGUAAGAUUUCUCCCCAACUUUUAUGGUUUAAACUAAAACAGAUAGAAAGUAAGUAAGAAGUUACCUUGUUUAAAAGAGCAUCUGUCUCUGAGUCUCUACUUGUUGCGCUCAGCCCAGAAACAUCAUGUUAAGUAAAACUGUAAUUAGCAUAACUAAUUGAACUAACUAUAUUGCUUCAGUUGAUUUUAACCAUUUUACUUUUGAAAAGUUAUCCCCAAGAUUGAAGUAGUCAAAAUAUUUCGACAUAGCUGAGUGCUGCUCUCUUAUUACUUGUUUGGCAUUUAUCAGGACUGGUUUCGAAGAGGAAAAGAACUUUAACGUGGUUUUAAAUUCGGUCAUUGCUGGGCGGUACCAUGUCACUGAGUACCUUGGAUCAGCAGCCUUCAGUAAAGCCAUACAAGCGCAUGACUUACAGACAGGAAUGGAUGUCUGUAUAAAGAUCAUAAAGAACAACAAAGACUUUUUUGACCAGAGUCUUGACGAGAUAAAACUUUUGAAGUAUGUCAACAAGCAUGAUCCUGCUGACAAAUACCAUCUUCUACGGUUGUAUGAUUACUUUUACUACCGCGUAAGUGAUCACAUCCCUUUUGCAAAAUUUGGUUUUGCUAUAGUAUAUCAAUAGGGGCAAAUUGUGUAACUUUAUAUAGGGAAACCACUUAAUCAGGAAAAAGUCGCUAAGAAGCUGUGUUAUGAACUUCUAAAAGUUUCACAUAUAUGCCAAUUUAUUGAAAUAUAAAGGGGUCAUAAUAAACUAAGUAGGUUUGCAUUAUUAUAUCUCUUUGUGGAUUGUUUGGUGUAACGGAUUCCCUGAAUGUUCUUUGCAGGAGCACUUGCUAAUUGUAUGUGAACUUCUUAAGGCCAAUCUAUACGAAUUCCACAAAUUUAACAGAGAAUCAGGUGGUGAAGUUUAUUUCACGAUGCCAAGAUUGCAGGUUUGUCCGCUUCAUCAUUAACAUUCUUAAUAGAUAUGUAUAAAUCCGAGUUCUAAUCUCUUUGGGAUCGUUCUGUACAGUCAAUCACUAUCCAGUGUCUCGAAUCACUUCAAUUUCUACAUGGCCUUGGACUUAUACACUGUGAUUUGAAGCCUGAGAACAUAUUGGUUAAAAGUUAUAGCAGAUGUGAAAUAAAGGUCAUUGACCUUGGAAGUAGCUGUUUCGAGACAGACCACCUAUGCUCCUAUGUCCAGUCAAGGUCAUAUCGAGCACCAGAAGUCAUUUUGGGACUUCCUUAUGAUAAAAAGAUAGAUGUGUGGUCUCUUGGGUGCAUUUUGGCUGAACUGUGUACAGGCAACGUAAGUUCUGGAAUUUCAGCUAGAUAAUAUUGUCUAGUUUGGUUGUUGAUUUUUGAGGACAAGAAGGUGAAUCCGUGUUUAAUAUCGAGUUACUUUUGCAGGUUCUCUUCCAGAAUGAUUCGCCAGCCAGUUUGCUAGCAAGGGUUAUGGGAAUCGUAGGAUCUUUCGAUAAUGAAAUGCUUACCAAGGGACGUGAUUCCCACAAAUACUUCACAAAAAACCGAAUGCUCUAUGAGCGGAACCAGGUUAGUGUUUCCAGAGACCUUAAAGGAACAUUCCCUGAACUCCAAAAACUCUGCAACUCUUAAGUUGAAUGGAAGAAACAUAUGCUAAUAAAGAACAUUCUCUCUGGAAAAAUUGUUUGUUCAGGAAAGCAACAGAUUGGAGUACCUGAUACCAAAAAGAACAUCGUUGAGACAUCGGCUGCCAAUGGGAGACCAAGGAUUCACAGACUUUGUGGCUCAUCUUCUUGAGAUAAACCCAAAGAAGC